RNAcentral lists this ribosomal RNA (1365 nucleotides) under 'Dendrocalamus strictus' phytoplasma. Its description in RNAcentral is "bacterial SSU rRNA". It matches the Rfam family "Bacterial small subunit ribosomal RNA", at positions 84 to 1445 of the family's 1533-position model. The record is from RNAcentral. Lineage: Bacteria; Bacillati; Mycoplasmatota; Mollicutes; Acholeplasmatales; Acholeplasmataceae.
UUCGGGUUUUAGUGGCGAACGGGUGAGUAACACGUAAGCAACCUACCCUAAAGACGAGGAUAACCAUUGGAAACAGUGGCUAAGACUGGAUAGGAAGAAAUAAGGCAUCUUAUUUCUUUUAAAAGACCUAGUAAUAGGUAUACUUUAGGAGGGGCUUGCGCCAUAUUAGUUAGUUGGUAGGGUAAUGGCCUACCAAGACGAUGAUGUGUAGCUGGACUGAGAGGUUGAACAGCCACAUUGGGACUGAGACACGGCCCAAACUCCUACGGGAGGCAGCAGUAAGGAAUUUUCGGCAAUGGAGGAAACUCUGACCGAGCAACGCCGCGUGAACGACGAAGUACUUUGGUAUGUAAAGUUCUUUUAUCAAGGAAGAAAAGCAAGUGGCGAACCAUUUGUUUGCCGGUACUUGAUGAAUAAGCCCCGGCUAAUUAUGUGCCAGCAGCCGCGGUAAGACAUAAGGGGCAAGUGUUAUCCGGAAUUAUUGGGCGUAAAGGGUGCGUAGGCGGUCUAGUAAGUCAGUGGUGUAAUGGCAACGCUCAACGUUGUCCGGCUAUUGAAACUGCUAAACUUGAGUUAGAUAGAGGCGAGUGGAAUUCCAUGUGUAGCGGUAAAAUGCGUAAAUAUAUGGAGGAACACCAGAGGCGUAGGCGGCUCGCUGGGUCUUAACUGACGCUGAGGCACGAAAGCGUGGGGAGCAAACAGGAUUAGAUACCCUGGUAGUCCACGCCGUAAACGAUGAGUACUAAGUGUCGGGUUAAACCGGUACUGAAGUUAACACAUUAAGUACUCCGCCUGAGUAGUACGUACGCAAGUAUGAAACUUAAAGGAAUUGACGGGACUCCGCACAAGCGGUGGAUCAUGUUGUUUAAUUCGAAGAUACCCGAAAAACCUUACCAGGUCUUGACAUGUUUUUGCGAAACGGUAGUAAUAUCGUAGAGGUUAUCAGAAACACAGGUGGUGCAUGGUUGUCGUCAGCUCGUGUCGUGAGAUGUUAGGUUAAGUCCUAAAACGAGCGAAACCCUUAUCGUUAGUUGCCAGCACGUUAUGGUGGGGACUUUAACGAGACUGCCAGUGAUAAACUGGAGGAAGGUGAGGAUCACGUCAAAUCAGCAUGCCCCUUAUGACCUGGGCUACAAACGUGAUACAAUGGCUGUUACAAAGGGUAGCUGAAACGUAAGUUCUUGGCCAAUCCCCAAAAACAGUCUCAGUCCGGAUUGAAGUCUGCAACUCGACUUCAUGAAGUUGGAAUCGCUAGUAAUCGCGAAUCAGCAUGUCGCGGUGAAUACGUUCUCGGGGUUUGUACACACCGCCCGUCAAACCACGAAAGUUGGCAAUACCCCAAAAUGGUAGCCUAACUCGUUUAUU